RNAcentral lists this ribosomal RNA (340 nucleotides) under uncultured bacterium. RNAcentral's name for it is "bacterial SSU rRNA". It matches the Rfam family "Bacterial small subunit ribosomal RNA", at positions 28 to 334 of the family's 1533-position model. The record is from RNAcentral.
GAUGAACGCUGGCGGCGUGCCUAACACAUGCAAGUCGAACGAAGCGUCUUAAAGGAAGUUUUCGGAUGGAAUUUGGGAUGACUGAGUGGCGGACGGGUGAGUAACGCGUGGAUAACCUGCCUCAUACAGGGGGAUAACAACGGGAAACCGUUGCUAAUACCGCGUACGAUAUGCUUUCGGCAUCGAGAGCAUAUGAAAGGUGGCCUCUAUAUAUAAGCUAUCGCUGAAGGAGGGGAUUGCGUCUGAUUAGCUAGUUGGAGGGGUAACGGCCCACCAAGGCAAUGAUCAGUAGCCGGUCUGAGAGGAUGAACGGCCACAUUGGGACUGAGACACGGCCCAA